This 1422-nucleotide long non-coding RNA is filed under the name Mytilus galloprovincialis (Mediterranean mussel). The record is from RNAcentral. Lineage: Eukaryota; Metazoa; Mollusca; Bivalvia; Mytilida; Mytilidae.
AAAACUGCAUUUUACCCCUAUGUUCUAUUUUUAACCGUAGCGACCAUCUUUGUUGGUUAGCCCGGUCACAAAACACAAUUUUUAAACUUAAUAGCCUAAUAAUGAUUCUGGCAAUGUUUGGUAAAAUUUGGCUAAGUAGUUUCAGAGAAGAAGAUUUUUGAAAAAGUUAACUUAGAUUUACGAAAAAAUUGUUAAAAAUGGACUAUAAAGGGCAAUAACUCCUAAAGGGGUCAACUGACCAUUUUGGUUUCUAGUGACUUAUUUGUAAAUCUUACUUUGCUGAACAUUUUUGCUGUGUGUACAGUUUAUAUCUAUCCAUAAUAAUAUUCAAGAUAAUUACCAAAAACAGUAAAAUUUCCUUAAAAUUACCAAUUUAGGGGCAGCAACCCAACAAUGGGUUGUCUGAUUCAUCUGAAAAUUUCAGGGCAGAUAGAUCUUGACCAGAUAAACAAUUUUACCCAUUGUCAGAUUUGCUCUAAAUGCUCUAAAUGCUUUGGUUUUUGAGUAAUAACCAAAAACUGCAUUUAACCUCCAUAUUCUAUUUUUAGCCGUGGCGGUCAUCUUGGUUGGUUGGCCGGGUCAAAAAACACAAUUUUCUAGAUACAUCAAUGAUGAUUGUGGCCAAGUAUGGAUUAAUUUGGCCCAGUAGUUUCAGAGAGGAAGAUUUUUGUAAAAGAUCAUGGAGAUUUACGAAAAAUGACUAAAAUUGACUAUAAAGGGCAAUAUCUCCUAAAGGGAUCAACUGACCAUUUUGGUCAUGUUGCCUUAUUUGUAAAUCUUACUUUGAUGACCGUUAUUGCUGUUUUCAGUUUAUCUCCAUCUAUAAUAAUUUUCAAGAUAAUAACCAAAAACAUUAAAUUUCCUUAAAAUUACCAAUGUAGGGGCAGCAACCCAACAAUGGGUUGUCUGAUUCAUCUGAAAAUUUCAGGGCAGAUAGAUCUUGAUCUGAUAAACAAUUUUACUCCAUUUCAGAUUUGCUCUAAAUGCUUUGUUUUUUUAGUUUUAAGCCAAAAACUGCAUUUUACCCCUGUGUUCCUUUUUUUUUUGCCAUGGCGGCCAUCUUGGUUGGUUGGCCGGGUAAAAAAACACAAAUUUUAAGCAAGAUACAUCAAUGAUGAUUGUUGCCAAGUUUGGUUUAAUUUGGCCCAGUAGUUUUAGAGGAGAAGAUUUUUGUAAAAGUUAACGACGACGGACGACAGACGAUGGACGACGACAGACGACGGACGACAGACGCCAAGUGAUGAGAAAAGCUCACUUGGCCUUUUAGGCCAGGUGAGCUAAAAACAUGUUAUGAAAACAUAUUAUGCCAACAUGAAUCGUGAAGCAAUACAAAUAAUUCUAAAACUUUCUGAUCACUGUGCUCUUAAAAUUACAUUCUGAGUUUACUUUUUUUUUAGUCAGUAAAAUUUGAAUGUAUUUGCA